This 89-nucleotide transfer RNA is filed under the name Paecilomyces variotii No. 5. RNAcentral describes it as "Byssochlamys spectabilis No. 5 tRNA". It matches the Rfam family "tRNA". Rfam says of the family: Transfer RNA (tRNA) molecules are approximately 80 nucleotides in length. Their secondary structure includes four short double-helical elements and three loops (D, anti-codon, and T loops). The record is from Rfam by way of RNAcentral. Lineage: Eukaryota; Fungi; Ascomycota; Eurotiomycetes; Eurotiales; Thermoascaceae.
GCGCGAGUAGUAUAGUGGUUAUUAUGUCUCACUCGUAUUAAAAUGGUACGAUUAUGAGAAGGUCGGGAGUUCGACUCUCCCCUUGCGCA